Long non-coding RNA from Myripristis murdjan (pinecone soldierfish), 133 nucleotides. RefSeq lists it as uncharacterized. NCBI's taxonomy places the organism in Eukaryota, Metazoa, Chordata, Actinopteri, Holocentriformes, Holocentridae. The transcript is spliced from 4 exons. The record is from RefSeq and is a predicted model, not a curated record.
AAAGACUGGAUUCCAGCUGACAGCCUGAGAGGAUAUGCCUGUGAUCUCACACUGGAUCCAAACACAGCGAGCAGAGACCUCCGUCUGUCUAAGCACAACAGGAAGGUGACGAACGUGGAAGACGAUCAGUUAC